GAUGAACGCUGGCGGCGUGCCUAAUACAUGCAAGUCGAGCGAACAGACGAGGAGCUUGCUCCUCUGACGUUAGCGGCGGACGGGUGAGUAACACGUGGAUAACCUACCUAUAAGACUGGGAUAACUUCGGGAAACCGGAGCUAAUACCGGAUAAUAUAUUGAACCGCAUGGUUCAAUAGUGAAAGACGGUUUUGCUGUCACUUAUAGAUGGAUCCGCGCCGCAUUAGCUAGUUGGUAAGGUAACGGCUUACCAAGGCAACGAUGCCUAGCCGACCUGAGAGGGUGAUCGGCCAAACUGGAACUGAGACACGGUCCAGACUCCUACGGGAGGCAGCAGUAGGGAAUCUUCCGCAAUGGGCGAAAGCCUGACGGAGCAACGCCGCGGGAGUGAUGAAGGUCUUCGGAUCGUAAAACUCUGUUAUUAGGGAAGAACAAAUGUGUAAGUAACUAUGCACGUCUUGACGGUACCUAAUCAGAAAGCCACGGCUAACUACGUG
RNAcentral lists this ribosomal RNA (497 nucleotides) under uncultured bacterium. RNAcentral's name for it is "partial 16S ribosomal RNA". It matches the Rfam family "Bacterial small subunit ribosomal RNA", at positions 28 to 507 of the family's 1533-position model. The record is from RNAcentral.